Molecule: ribosomal RNA, 748 nt
Filed under: uncultured bacterium
Lineage: Bacteria
Description: bacterial SSU rRNA
Rfam family: Bacterial small subunit ribosomal RNA
Source: RNAcentral
CUUCAAUCGAGCGGCGAACGGGCGAGUAACGCGUGAGGACCCGCCUCAAAGAGGGGGACAACAGUUGGAAACGACCGCUAAUACCGCAUAAGCCCACGGCUCGGCAUCGAGCAGAGGGAAAAGGAGCAAUCCGCUUUGAGAUGGCCUCGCGUCCGAUUAGCUAGUUGGUGAGGUAACGGCCCACCAAGGCGACGAUCGGUAGCCGGACUGAGAGGUUGAACGGCCACAUUGGGACUGAGGCACGGCCCAGACUCCUACGGGAGGCAGCAGUGGGGAAUAUUGCACAAUGGGGGAAACCCUGAUGCAGCGACGCCGCGUGGAGGAAGAAGGUCUUCGGAUUGUAAACUCCUGUUGUUGAGGAAGAUAAUGACGGUACUCAACAAGGAAGUGACGGCUAACUACGUGCCAGCAGCCGCGGUAAAACGUAGGUCACAAGCGUUGUCCGGAAUUACUGGGUGUAAAGGGAGCGCAGGCGGGAGAACAAGUUGGAAGUGAAAUCCAUGGGCUCAACCCAUGAACUGCUUUCAAAACUGUUUUUCUUGAGUAGUGCAGAGGUAGGCGGAAUUCCCGGUGUAGCGGUGGAAUGCGUAGAUAUCGGGAGGAACACCAGUGGCGAAGGCGGCCUACUGGGCACCAACUGACGCUGAGGCUCGAAAGUGUGGGUAGCAAACAGGAUUAGAUACCCUGGUAGUCCACACCGUAAACGAUGAUUACUAGGUGUUGGAGGAUUGACCCCUCAGUGCCGCAG